CUCCUUCAUGCCAUUCACUUCCUUCACACGUACCCAGGCAGGGAUCGUCUGACGUGACACAGUGUUCACCAGAAAGUCCCCGAUAAUGGACAUAGUGCUGCCUGGUCCUCCAGUAUUCGGAGCACACUGGGGGCAGCACUUUGUCAGCAGUCCCUUAGGCAGGGUGCCCCCCUGUCCCUUCUCAUUGGAAGUCUA
Nanorana parkeri is the source of this 195-nucleotide long non-coding RNA. RefSeq lists it as uncharacterized. Lineage: Eukaryota; Metazoa; Chordata; Amphibia; Anura; Dicroglossidae. The record is from RefSeq and is a predicted model, not a curated record. The transcript has 3 exons.